AUUGAACGCUGGCGGCAGGCUUAACACAUGCAAGUCGAGCGGGGUGAUGGUGCUUGCACUAUCACUUAGCGGCGGACGGGUGAGUAAUGCUUAGGAAUCUGCCUAUUAGUGGGGGACAACAUCUCGAAAGGGAUGCUAAUACCGCAUACGUCCUACGGGAGAAAGCAGGGGAUCACUUGUGACCUUGCGCUAAUAGACGAGCCUAAGUCGGAUUAGCUAGUUGGUGGGGUAAAGGCCUACCAAGGCGACGAUCUGUAGCGGGUCUGAGAGGAUGAUCCGCCACACUGGGACUGAGACACGGCCCAGACUCCUACGGGAGGCAGCAGUGGGGAGUAUUGGACAAUGGGGGGAACCCUGAUCCAGCCAUGCCGCGUGUGUGAAGAAGGCCUUAUGGUUGUAAAGCACUUUAAGCGAGGAGGAGGCUCUUUUGGUUAAUAUCCAAGAUGAGUGGACGUUACUCGCAGAAUAAGCACCGGCUAACUCUGUGCCAGCCGCCGCAGUAA
Molecule: ribosomal RNA, 503 nt
Filed under: uncultured bacterium
Lineage: Bacteria
Description: partial 16S ribosomal RNA
Rfam family: Bacterial small subunit ribosomal RNA
Source: RNAcentral